This 21-nucleotide non-coding RNA is filed under the name Caenorhabditis elegans. Lineage: Eukaryota; Metazoa; Nematoda; Chromadorea; Rhabditida; Rhabditidae. The record is from RNAcentral.
UAUUUCAAGCUCUUGUUUUUC